GAUGAACGCUGGCGGCGUGCCUAAUACAUGCAAGUCGAGCGAACGGACGAGAAGCUUGCUUCUCUGAUGCUAGCGGCGGACGGGUGAGUAACACGUGGAUAACCUACCUAUAAGACUGGGAUAACUUCGGGAAACCGUAGCUAAUACCGGAUAAUAUUUUGAACCGCAUGGUUCAAAAGUGAAAGACGGUCUUGCUGUCACUUAUAGAUGGAUCCGCGCUGCAUUAGCUAGUUGGUAAGGUAACGGCUUACCAAGGCAACGAUGCAUAGCCGACCUGAGAGGGUGAUCGGCCACACUGGAACUGAGACACGGUCCAGACUCCUACGGGAGGCAGCAGUAGGGAAUCUUCCGCAAUGGGCGAAAGCCUGACGGAGCAACGCCGCGUGAGUGAUGAAGGUCUGCGGAUCGUAAAACUCUGUUAUUAGGGAAGAACAUAUGUGUAAGUAACUGUGCACAUCUUGACGGUACCUAAGCAGAAAGCCACGGCUAACUACGU
RNAcentral lists this ribosomal RNA (496 nucleotides) under uncultured bacterium. RNAcentral's name for it is "partial 16S ribosomal RNA". It matches the Rfam family "Bacterial small subunit ribosomal RNA", at positions 28 to 506 of the family's 1533-position model. The record is from RNAcentral.